This 253-nucleotide ribosomal RNA is filed under the name uncultured bacterium. Its description in RNAcentral is "partial 16S ribosomal RNA". It matches the Rfam family "Bacterial small subunit ribosomal RNA", at positions 524 to 776 of the family's 1533-position model. The record is from RNAcentral.
GACGAACCGUGCGAACGUUGUUCGGAAUCACUGGGCUUAAAGGGCGCGUAGGCGGGCCGCCAGGCCCGCGGUGAAAUCCCCCGGCUCAACCGGGGAAGUGCCGCGGGGACCGGCGGUCUAGAGUGAGAUAGGGGCGUGCGGAACUGUGGGUGGAGCGGUGAAAUGCGUUGAUAUCCACAGGAACUCCGGUGGCGAAGGCGGCACGCUGGAUCUCUACUGACGCUGAGGAGCGAAAGCCAGGGGAGCAAACGGG